GAUGAGAUGGCUGAAUUAGGCGAUAAACUGUAAAUUUAUUUAUGAAAUUUUAUUUCUCYCAUCA
RNAcentral lists this transfer RNA (64 nucleotides) under Suinzona cyrtonoides. Its description in RNAcentral is "tRNA-Tyr". Lineage: Eukaryota; Metazoa; Arthropoda; Insecta; Coleoptera; Chrysomelidae. The record is from RNAcentral.